GCCAGGCAUGAUGGUGCAUGCCUGUAAUCCCAGCUACUUGGGAGGCUGAGGUGGGAGAAUUGCUUGAGCCUGGGAGUUUGAGGCAGCAGUGAGCCGAGAUCGAGACACUGCGCUCCAGCCUGGGCAAUAGAGUGAGACCCUGCCUCCA
RNAcentral lists this non-coding RNA (148 nucleotides) under Nomascus leucogenys (northern white-cheeked gibbon). The record is from Rfam by way of RNAcentral. Lineage: Eukaryota; Metazoa; Chordata; Mammalia; Primates; Hylobatidae.